GCGGGGAUUUAAGUUUGCGGUGAAAGUUUGAGGCUCAACCUUAAAAUUGCCGUUGAAACUGGGUUCCUUGAGUGUAGAUGAAGUAGGCGGAAUUUGUGGUGUAGCGGUGAAAUGCAUAGAUAUCACGAAGAACUCCGAUUGCGCAGGCAGCUUACUAAGGUACAACUGACACUGAAGCACGAAAGCGUGGGUAUCAAACAGGAUUAGAUACCCUGGUAGUCCACGCUGUAAACGAUGAUUACUAGCUGUUUGCGAUAUACAGUAAGUGGCUAAGCGAAAGCGAUAAGUAAUCCACCUGGGGAGUACGCCGGCAACGGUGAAACUCAAAGGAAUUGACGGGGGCCCGCACAAGCGGAGGAACAUGUGGUUUAAUUCGGUGAUACGCGAGGAACCUUACCCGGGCUUGAAAUGUAGAAGAAUAGAUUGGAAACAGUUUA
RNAcentral lists this ribosomal RNA (437 nucleotides) under uncultured Bacteroidota bacterium. RNAcentral describes it as "bacterial SSU rRNA". It matches the Rfam family "Bacterial small subunit ribosomal RNA", at positions 575 to 1013 of the family's 1533-position model. Lineage: Bacteria; Pseudomonadati; Bacteroidota. The record is from RNAcentral.